Molecule: ribosomal RNA, 257 nt
Filed under: uncultured Shigella sp.
Lineage: Bacteria; Pseudomonadati; Pseudomonadota; Gammaproteobacteria; Enterobacterales; Enterobacteriaceae
Description: partial 16S ribosomal RNA
Rfam family: Bacterial small subunit ribosomal RNA
Source: RNAcentral
UGGCGGACGGGUGAGUAAUGUCUGGGAAACUGCCUGAUGGAGGGGGAUAACUACUGGAAACGGUAGCUAAUACCGCAUAACGUCGCAAGACCAAAGAGGGGGACCUUCGGGCCUCUUGCCAUCGGAUGUGCCCAGAUGGGAUUAGCUAGUAGGUGGGGUAACGGCUCACCUAGGCGACGAUCCCUAGCUGGUCUGAGAGGAUGACCAGCCACACUGGAACUGAGACACGGUCCAGACUCCUACGGGAGGCAGCAGCC